This is a non-coding RNA of Naegleria gruberi, 94 nucleotides long. Lineage: Eukaryota; Heterolobosea; Eutetramitea; Acrasida; Naegleriidae. The record is from the annotation of a RefSeq genome assembly.
GGGUGAAUAGUUUCAAUCGGGAGAAACGCAAGGUUGUCAUGCAUUUACACUUGACCAUUGCCUUGAGGCGGUAGAUCAAAACUACCUUCGCCCU